AUUGAACGCUGGCGGCAUGCUUUACACAUGCAAGUCGAACGGCAGCGCGGGCUUCGGCCUGGCGGCGAGUGGCGAACGGGUGAGUAAUAUAUCGGAACGUACCCAAGAGUGGGGGAUAACGUAGCGAAAGUUACGCUAAUACCGCAUACGAUCUAAGGAUGAAAGCAGGGGAUCGCAAGACCUUGUGCUCCUGGAGCGGCCGAUAUCUGAUUAGCUAGUUGGUGAGGUAAAGGCUCACCAAGGCAACGAUCAGUAGCUGGUCUGAGAGGACGACCAGCCACACUGGAACUGAGACACGGUCCAGACUCCUACGGGAGGCAGCAGUGGGGAAUUUUGGACAAUGGGGGCAACCCUGAUCCAGCAAUGCCGCGUGAGUGAAGAAGGCCUUCGGGUUGUAAAGCUCUUUUGUCAGGGAAGAAAAGGUCGUGGCUAAUAUCCACGACUACUGACGGUACCUGAAGAAUAAGCACCGGCUAACUACGUGCCAGCAGCCGCCGUAA
Molecule: ribosomal RNA, 500 nt
Filed under: uncultured bacterium
Lineage: Bacteria
Description: partial 16S ribosomal RNA
Rfam family: Bacterial small subunit ribosomal RNA
Source: RNAcentral